GGCAGCGUGGAUAGGCAUGCAAGUCGGACGGGAUCGGCCGGAUGGCAAUAUUCGGCCGUGAGAGUGGCGGAUUGGGAGGAGCACGUGAGCAACCUGCCCUGGAGAUGUGGAAAACCUCUGGAAACGGAGGCUAAUACAGAAUGUGGCGCCCGACGGCAUCGUCGGAGCGCCGAAGGGGGCCGCAAGGCUCCCGCUCCGGGAUGGGCUCGCGCACCAUCAGCUAGUUGGCGGGUAACGGCCCACCAAGGCCUACGGUUAGCUGGUCUGAGAGGAUGACCAGCCCCACUGGGACUGAGAUACUGCCCAGACUCCUACGGGAGGCUGCAGUCGAGGAUCAUUCGCAAUGGGCGAAAGCCUGACGAUGCGACGCUGCGUGGAGGAAUGAAGGCCUUCGGGUCGUAAACUCCUGUCAUGGGGGAAGAGGCGAGGGAAGCGAACACCUUCCUUAGUUGACUGUACCCCAAGAGGAAGCGACGGCUAACUCUGUGCCAGCAGCCGC
RNAcentral lists this ribosomal RNA (499 nucleotides) under uncultured bacterium. RNAcentral's name for it is "bacterial SSU rRNA". It matches the Rfam family "Bacterial small subunit ribosomal RNA", at positions 38 to 518 of the family's 1533-position model. The record is from RNAcentral.